GCACUUUCAGUGUUCGAGUUGUAAUUUGAAGAAGGUAACUUUGGUUUUGGCUCUUGUCUAUGUUCCUUGGAACAGGACGUCACAGAGGGUGAGAAUCCCGUGCGAUGAGAUGCCCAAUUCCAUGUAAAGUGCUUUCGAAGAGUCGAGUUGUUUGGGAAUGCAGCUCUAAGUGGGUGGUAAAUUCCAUCUAAAGCUAAAUAUUGGCGAGAGACCGAUAGCGAACAAGUACAGUGAUGGAAAGAUGAAAAGAACUUUGAAAAGAGAGUGAAAAAGUACGUGAAAUUGUUGAAAGGGAAGGGCUUGAGAUCAGACUUGGUAUUUUGCGUUCCCUUCCUUUUUGGUUGGGUUCCUCGCAGUUUACUGGGCCAGCAUCGGUUUGGAUGGUAGGAUAAUGACAUUGGAAUGUAGCUUUACUUCGGUGAAGUGUUAUAGACUUUGUUGAUACUGCCUAUCUAGACCGAGGACUGCGUCUUUGACUAGGAUGCUGGCGUAAUGAUCUUAAGCCG
RNAcentral lists this ribosomal RNA (506 nucleotides) under Dujonia zeylanoides. RNAcentral describes it as "[Candida] zeylanoides partial large subunit ribosomal RNA". It matches the Rfam family "Eukaryotic large subunit ribosomal RNA", at positions 125 to 647 of the family's 3401-position model. The record is from RNAcentral. Lineage: Eukaryota; Fungi; Ascomycota; Pichiomycetes; Serinales; Debaryomycetaceae.